RNAcentral lists this ribosomal RNA (484 nucleotides) under uncultured bacterium. RNAcentral describes it as "partial 16S ribosomal RNA". It matches the Rfam family "Bacterial small subunit ribosomal RNA", at positions 30 to 507 of the family's 1533-position model. The record is from RNAcentral.
AUUGAACGCUGGCGGCAGGCCUAACACAUGCAAGUCGAGCGGAUGAAGGGAGCUUGCUCCUGGAUUCAGCGGCGGACGGGUGAGUAAUGCCUAGGAAUCUGCCUGGUAGUGGGGGAUAACGUCCGGAAACGGGCGCUAAUACCGCCUACGUCCUGAGGGAGAAAGUGGGGGAUCUUCGGACCUCACGCUAUCAGAUGAGCCUAGGUCGGAUUAGCUAGUUGGUGGGGUAAAGGCCUACCAAGGCGACGAUCCGUAACUGGUCUGAGAGGAUGAUCAGUCACACUGGAACUGAGACACGGUCCCGACUCCUACGGGAGGCAGCAGUGGGGAAUAUUAGACAAUGGGCGAAAGCCUGAUCCAGCCAUGCCGCGUGUGUGAAGAAGGUCUUCGGAUUGUAAAGCACUUUAAGUUGGGAGGAAGGGCAGUAAGUUAAUACCUUGCUGUUUUGACGUUACCAACAGAAUAAGCACCGGCUAACUUCGUG